AAAAAAACGAGGAGCUAACUUUGUAUUUAGUUUACUAUCCCCUUUCCUUACACAAAAAAAAAUCAACCAUACAAACAUUACAAAAAAAUACAAUUGCCUUGCAAUAAAAAACUGUUUUAAAUGAUUCCAAAAUGUCAUCUCAAAUAAACGUACUUGCCACUUCCUAUAACCAAUUGAACAGUACGUGCAUAAGUCAUCGGAUAACUACUUCUAAAGUAAACAUCAAACAUUACUGCCAUUUCAGCACCACAAAAUCCCAAUACUCACUUCCAAUAUCAAUAACAACAUCAAACACAUACCAAUUAUUC
This 308-nucleotide long non-coding RNA is filed under the name Brassica rapa (field mustard). Its description in RNAcentral is "long non-coding RNA (BRAP_LNC007587)". Lineage: Eukaryota; Viridiplantae; Streptophyta; Magnoliopsida; Brassicales; Brassicaceae. The record is from RNAcentral.